UUUUCUAUGUGCUAAUCACUAUUUGAGCCA
This 30-nucleotide non-coding RNA is filed under the name Mus musculus (house mouse). Lineage: Eukaryota; Metazoa; Chordata; Mammalia; Rodentia; Muridae. The record is from RNAcentral.